GGUACGAUGUAAGAUGUUCGUGUUCAAUGGAGUACGGUGGUCCGAUUGACUGUUAGAAGCGUCAUUGAAAACGUCGUUUUGAUAAAAUUAUUUAUGUGUUAAUAAAGUUUCCAGAAGACGCAGUUUACUUGAUAAUCUUGUAGCGAACAUACAAAACACAUUUAUUAAAUAUGAGACGUAAAAGUGAAAGGAACAAAGCAAAAAUGGGAACCCCAGAAAAGGAAGCUGAAAAGCCGGUGAAAAAGUCAACACGUAGACGUGCAAAACGGACACCUUCAGUGUCGCCAGAAAAAGAUAAUGACAAAGUAUCAAAAAGCGUUGGUAGCAAGGAAACAGAAAAGAAGUCAGUACAACCUCAAAAAAAAGAAUUAGAACCGAUAGAAGAACAUAACGAACAAAUUUUAACUACUGAGGUGGAUAGUAAGACCAAGGUGCAAGAAAAUGAAGAGGAUAAUACUGAUGGAUCAGUUUGGAAAGUGUCAAGAGCCGAUGCAUCACCUGGAGAGAUACAGAAGCUGAAGUUAUGUAGACAACUCAAUCUGUCAGAAGGAUCAUCUGAUACUUCUUUAAGCAGGAAAAAAUCGAACAAGUGGCAGGAAAGUGGUGAGGGAGUUGCAGAGGAGGCUGACUCGGCAGACAAGCAACUGGCUUCUUGUACAAGAAUGCUCAGCAGCGAUGAACAGCCGAACGAUCCCUCCUCUUCAUACCCAGGUCAGGACUCCAACGAAGAGGUAAGUGAUAGCAAGGAGAUCCUGCCUGAAACCACUUCAGCCAACUUGUCUGACGAUAAACCAAACAUAGAUCAACAAGGUGAAUCAAAUGAGGCAAAUAUCUCCAACGAAAACGCUGAUAGUGAACCCAUUAAGUUGAGUAGCACAACCAUGUUGGCUCCUAACACAAAUGAUGAUCGCUCAUCCAAGGAGAUAAUUGUUACACCAAUGGAAGAAAAGUCUGUGGAAGAUGUCAGUGAAAAGUCAGCAGAAGCAUUUAAUAAAGAAACUAGCAUUGAAAAUGUUAAAAGAGAGACAAGCAGUGAUGACGAUGAUGAAAAAACAAAAGCACGUGAAAUCAAUUCGUCAUCCGAAUCGAACGACGAAGUUCAUACUAAAAGUAAUAGAACCAGCGGCAGAAUACAAAGUGCCAGUCGCAGGAAACGUAUAACCAAAUAUAGAGAUUCGUCCAAUUCUGAUACUAAUUCAGAUUCGGAGGAUGAACCUCCUAUUAAGAGAGAUCUUGAAAUUGAUACUUAUAUGCAAGAAGAAAAGAUAAGUACAGAGGAUUCACAUGAACAAAAAGAUCAUUCUGAGUCACCAAAAGCAAGAAAUAAUUUGUUAAAUAAUGCAAACAUGGAAGUAGAACAUAAUGAAGGAAAUAAACAAAAAUUGGAUAGUUUAAAUGAUAAUUCUGUAUCAGCUACAGCACAAUCCAUAACUUAUAAGCCUGUAAAAGUGAAUUUGAAGAGAUCAUUCUCCUUAAGAAUGUUAACAGAGAAGAAUGACGUGAAAAGAGAUGAUAAUGAUGGAAAUAUAAAUAAUGAAACCACUAUUUCGAACAAGGAAAAUCAUGAUAAUAUUGAACAAGAUUCAAAAUGUGUUCCAAGGAAACGUCGGUGGGGCACUGCAUUAUCUACCGAUACCGCACCAUCAUUUUCAAUUUCCACGGAUUCACUUAAAGCAUUGGUGCCAGGUGCGAGACCGUUAUCGAUAAACGAAGUUCGCCUCUCAAAAGAUGAUGAUGAGGACAGAGAUCGAUAUCGGGUCACUGAAAAAUGGCAUAAUUCUAAUGAAGGAGCAAAUGAUAAUAAAUCCGGUGACGAAGCUCUCGUACAAAAGAAUGGUGGAACAAAGAAAGGCGACACAAAGACAGAUAAUCAUAUAGCAAUUAGGCGUAAAAUAUCAAUUGUCAAAGAAACGCCACAUGUGAAAUCUCCAAGUCCGCCUGCCACAAAGCCGACGAAUAUUCUGUUGAUUAAAAAUUUGGUUCGCCCUUUUACUUUAAAUCAAAUUAAAGAGCUCCUUUCACGUACUGGCACAAUCGUCGAAAAUGGAUUUUGGAUGGAUAGAAUUAAAUCAAAAUGUUUUGUAGAGUAUUCUAAUGAGGACCAGGCAUUUGAAACGAGACAAGCGUUACAUGGUAUAUCCUGGCCUGUUUCAAAUCCGAAGAGGCUACAUGUUGAGUAUGCAACCAAAGAUGAUAUGGAAUUGGCACGAGAAUUAUCAAAAGAUCAGUCGAUUCCAAGAAAAACUGAGCCGCUUGUACCAUCCGAUUCGUGGCAACAGGAUUGGAACCGUGAGGAAAGAACAAAUACAAAGGUGAUGGUAGUCCGAGAAUGGGAUCUGGGUAAAGAAGAUGGUCAGCAACACAUGAAGGAGAAGGAACGUGAAAAGAAGGAUCACGAUAAGAAGAGGCGACAGAGGAGUCGAAGUCCUGCGGUGGAGGCUCAUCUUCCAGCUCCAGCUCGUAAAUUUAAAAAAAAAGAAGACGAACCACCACCGGCUAAACUUUUAGACGAUCUCUUUAGAAAGACAAAGGCAACACCGUGCAUAUAUUGGUUACCGCUUACAAACGAACAGUCAUUUUCUGAUAUAACAAACAAACAAAGUUUAUAGAACAGUGACGCAUUUAAGUGAGUUAUUCUGUGUAAUAAAUGUAGGAAUCAAUUGCUUACUAUUGUUUACAAACAUAGUUUAGAUAGUCGUGAAAGAAGAAAUGAGAAGACAACAUAUGGCAGAACAUGCCCGCAGAUUAGAAGAAAUGA
RNAcentral lists this unclassified non-coding RNA (2758 nucleotides) under Megachile rotundata (alfalfa leafcutting bee). Its description in RNAcentral is "apoptotic chromatin condensation inducer in the nucleus, transcript variant X2". The record is from RNAcentral. Lineage: Eukaryota; Metazoa; Arthropoda; Insecta; Hymenoptera; Megachilidae.